CCUACGGGGGGCAGCAGUGAGGAAUAUUGGUCAAUGGGCUUACGCCUGAACCAGCCAAGUCGCGUGAGGGAAGACUGCCCUAUGGGUUGUAAACCUCUUUUGUCAGGGAGCAAUUGGCGCUACGUGUAGCGUUAUCGAGAGUACCUGAAGAAAAAGCAUCGGCAAACUCCGUGCCAGCAGCCGCGGUAAUACGGAGGAUGCGAGUGUGAUCAGGAUUUAUUGGGUUUAAAGGGUGCGUAGGCGGAAUGCCAAGUCAGCGGGAAAAUCGCGGGGCUCAACCUCGCUCCGCCGUUGAAACUGGCGUUCUUGAGUGGGCGAGAAGUAUGCGGAAUGCGAGGUGUAGCGGUGAAAUGCAUAGAUAUCACGCAGAACUCCGAUUGCGAAGGCAGCAUACCGGCGCCCAACUGACGCUGAAGCACGAAAGCGUGGGUAUCGAACAGGAUUAGAUACCCUUGUAGUC
This 460-nucleotide ribosomal RNA is filed under the name uncultured bacterium. RNAcentral describes it as "partial 16S ribosomal RNA". It matches the Rfam family "Bacterial small subunit ribosomal RNA", at positions 338 to 795 of the family's 1533-position model. The record is from RNAcentral.